AUAACAAAAUAUACAAAGAAUAAGCAGAACACUCGAGCCACGUGUUGCCUUCAGGUCCAUGUAUGUCAGUCCUCAACUGUGCUCAAUGUUUACUUCACUGCUGCUCUGGCUCGGUCCGUCCUCAUGUCUUCACUCUGUCCACGUUUAGGUGAGGUUUGGUCGUCUUCUACCUCACUGG
Molecule: long non-coding RNA, 178 nt
Organism: Salarias fasciatus (jewelled blenny)
Lineage: Eukaryota; Metazoa; Chordata; Actinopteri; Blenniiformes; Blenniidae
Exons: 3
Source: RefSeq, a predicted model, not a curated record